This 585-nucleotide ribosomal RNA is filed under the name uncultured bacterium. RNAcentral's name for it is "partial 16S ribosomal RNA". It matches the Rfam family "Bacterial small subunit ribosomal RNA", at positions 355 to 1375 of the family's 1533-position model. The record is from RNAcentral.
UGGGGAAUUUUGGACAAUGGGCGAAAGCCUGAUCCAGCAAUGCCGCGUGUGUGAAGAAGGCCUUCGGGUUGUAAAGCACUUUUGUCCGGAAAGAAAUCCUUGGCUCUAAUACAGUCGGGGGAUGACGGUACCGGAAGAAUAAGCACCGGCCAACUACGUGCCAGCAGCCGCGGUAAUACGUAGGGUGCAAGCGUUAAUCGGAAUUACUGGGCGUAAAGCGUGCGCAGGCGGUUUGCUAAGACCGAUGUGAAAUCCCCGGGCUCAACCUGGGAACUGCAUUGGUGACUGGCAGGCUAGAGUAUGGCAGAGGGGGGUAGAAUUCCACGUGUAGCAGUGAAAUGCGUAGAGAUGUGGAGGAAUACCGAUGGCGAAGGCAGCCCCCUGGGCCAAUACUGACGCUCAUGCACGAAAGCGUGGGGAGCAAACAGGAUUAGAUACCCUGGUAGUCCACGCCCUAAACGAUGUCAACUAGUUGUUGGGGAUUCAUUUCCUUAGUAACGUAGCUAACGCGUGAAGUUGACCGCCUGGGGAGUACGGUCGCAAGAUUAAAACUUAAAGGAAUUGACGGGGUCAUAGCUGUUUCCU